UUUUUUUUUUUUUUUUUCAGAUGGAGUCUCACACUGUUGCCCAGGCUGGAGUUCAGUGGCGUGAUCUCAGCUCACUGCAACCUCCGCCUCCUGGGUUCCAGUGAUUCUCCUGCCUCAGGCUCCCAAGCAGCUGGGACUACAGGCGCGCGCCACCACACCUGGCUAAUUUUUGUAUUUUUAGUAGAGACGGGGUUUCAUCAUAUUGGCCAGGCAGGUCUCAAACUCCUGACCUCGUGAUCCACCCGCCUUGGUCUCCCAAAGUGCUGGGAUUAUAGGUGUGAGCCACUGUGCCUGGCCCAGCUCGACCACUUAAACAUUUCCAGUUACAUGAUUUUGUGACAUUCAAUAUAUAUGAAAUUCCUAUAAAAUAAUUGUUAUUCCUCUCAUUUUGCUUAGAGAAUGAUGGGCCAUUUUAUAAUUUCUACUUGGAAGGAAUAACUAGCAACACAGUUCAAGCAGACAAUUCAAGAAUGAGGUCCUCUUUCACCAUUAGUUUUCUACAUAUUUCAGGAAAAGUCAGUCAAAUUGAGCCUAAAUUCUAAAGAUAGACCUAAACGCUCCACCACGUUUUUAAAAUUAUGCAGGCUACAAAUAACUGCACACAGUUGGCUGGAGCCCAUUUAUUAAACGUGCACUUUCCUCACCAGCAGGCUAAGAGGACAUCAGGGCGCCCGUCCACACCGAGCCCUCACCUUCCCCAAGCUCUUACACCGUCAGCAAAACCCAUACCCUCAGCUCUUUCCUGUGAAGCCAGGAUCUCUAUGAAACAAAUGGAAUAAUACAUUGGAAUAACACAUUUUCUGCACAGUUUUUCUAAUUUCUAUAAUUUUCAUUUCCAAGUUAACUGAAGAGUGAAAUUGAUUUGUUUGAUAAGCCGAGAGUUAGCAGGUCCUACAGUUAACCGUAAUGCACGGGUCACCCCGCCUCAAGGCAAGAGUUCAAAAUAAGCGGAUUCAGCGUUUAGUUUGUCAGAGGGAAAGACUUUGUCUUUUUUUUAAAAAUGAAGGCUCUGUGUUACCCAGAAGAUACAGAAUCAGGCAGGAGCCAGGCUUGCCAGGACCACAUCCUCUCUCUACAGACUGGGAAAGUUUCUCCAACAGCAGGAGUCAGGCUCACAGCGGGGCAGGCAUAUACGUGGCCUACCAUCUUCGGGCCUCAGACUUUCCAUUAAAAAACAGGGAUAACAACAAGAUCCAACCCUACGCAUAGGUUAUCGGGAUUCAACACCAUUUUUAAAUGUCUUAAAAUUAUAAGGUACGCUACGAACGUAAGUUUUUAGAAUAAGGCAUGUCACUCCCUGAUUACAGACAUGCGCUUUCGUUCUGCAGUUGAUCCUGGAAGCAUGUCCCAGUGGUUUCCCCAACCUCAGUGACAGCUCAGUGUCUUCAUUCCACUAGAUCACUACUAGGUCCUUUCCAAUUUUAUAUACUUUUGAGGAAGAAAUGUGAGUUGACAGAUGCUCUACCAAGUAGCCACCACCACCCAGGGAUACCACCACCAUGAUGAUGGAAUUGAUGGCCACAGUAUGAAAGUUUUUAAGAGCUCUGCCUAUUGUUCCCAAGGACUCUAUCUCCCUGACACACUGUGACAUGUGAAGAAACGUCAGUAGCAUGGCUGGCCGGGCUGGAUUCCUCCUGGUCCCUUACUACCUCUUUCUCUUUACCUUCUCCUUUGAGCCUUAGCUCUCCAUGCCAGCCACACUGGCCUCCUUCCUGUUCUGGAACAUACCGGGCAACCUGCUGCCCCAGAGCCUUUGCACUGCUGUUCAUCCCCUUUGCCUACCUGGAUUCUUCCCUUAACAUCAAGAAGACUGGCUUUUCCCCACCUUCAGGUUGCUUGGCUCAAAUUUCCUUUUCCCCCCUCUCCCUUUCCUGCUUCAUUUCUAGAGCGUUUCACCACCUGUAGUGCUUCAUGUCCUAAAUGCACAACAAAAUUAAGUUUACUUCCUAGGUUUCAAAGGCUGACAGUCCACUGAAGACUUGCCCACUUUCUGUUAAUUCUUUUUAGCUUGAAAAACCAAAUCUGUUUCUCUCUAGCCUAUCCUUUACUAUUGCUCAAAUGGAUGAAGUAGUUUUGAGACAGUCUAUAUGUAAUAAUUGUCAUCUUUGUAAUGAAAACAUGCAGAAAUUUAAUGGUUUGAAUAAAUUUAAAAAUUAAAGUGAGAUCUCACCAUUUUUGCCAUCGUCCUUUCUGCCUCCAACUUUCUACCUUUCUCAAACACCCCAUAAGUAAAGUUCCUUUUAUGUUGUUGUUGUUGUGCCUAAAAGAACUGUAAAAGGUGGCAAAAGCUGAGAAUGACACAAGACUCAUCUGUGACCAAUUCUCCCAUCAGCCUCACGGGUGGGUGACUUGGAGCUCUCCAACCCAAUGGGACUUCCUUCUUUCUCCUCCACUGGCCACCACCAUGGUGGGCAGGGGGGCCAAGAGUGGGAAGCAGCUCUUUGAGCCGGGGGAGGCUGUGGUUGGCAGGAAGGGAGGGGGCUUUCCUGGACAGGCCAGGGAUGCCUGUACAAAGAAUGAGAUCAAUACUCUUAACGCAGGCUUCAGAGCCGCCUACGAAAAGGAGCCAAGAAACCUAACAAUGGGGAAGUUUCUGGAAUACUACCGUGUAUGACAGAGACUGAGCACAGAAUGAAAUACCAGGAGAGUAUGGCCACAAGGCCACCGAACAGCUCAGGGCAAGCUAACAUCUAGGAAUCGGGAGAGGAGCAGAAUCAAAGCUACUAUUUUUCAGAGAAGAAAACUCACAACCACCACCUCAUCUGAUGCACCCCAGGCUCGCGCAGGGGUGAAGCGGUGAAACAUCUGAGUGGUCCCAGCUGUGAAUGGGACCAGUACUGUGAAUGUUCCAGCAAGGACAUCCACAAUCGCAGCAGUGACAUCCCAUGAAACAUGCCAUUAUCUGUGCUCAGCCAAGAUUGGCUACAGGGUGGACACUUAGGAAAAGGAUCAGAGGGGCUGCCCAGAAAAUGGCGCAUGGUGGGAUGCUGCCAAGUUGACUCUGAAGGCACCUAGGGGACAGAGGCCCGGCUUCACACUUCUUCUGCAUCUCCCAGGACAUCUACUCUUGUGCUGACACACGCUGAACUCUCAAUACAUUGAUUGGCUUAAAAUAUCAACUACGUUCCGCCUUUAGGAAAUGGCUGAAGACCCAGUGAAUUCUAAACAGUCCAGCUGACCUGGACAGACCAAGACUCACACAGAUGAAUGCGUAUCACCCAGACUUGUUCUAAGAACUUAAUUAAAUGCUCCCUGCUGGGAAAACUUGGACAUGUUAUUGCAGUGAUUGUUUCAUCUGGAACUAGGACCACUGAUAAGCUAAGCUGCAAAUAAUAGUAAGAUUGCAAACUGAACCAAGGUGUGUCCUUUCUACUGGACCACUGAAACUUUCAUCUAUCCCCAAACACCAAAAUGCCCUUAUAUGUGGAAGCUACAAAACCUUUAGGAGAAAAUUAUCAUUUAAAAAACUUGUCAAAACAAAUAAUCUCAACAAUGUCUGCAAAUUCAUUGAUGCUUACAUCUAAAAGGGUUUUGUGUAGCAUUUGUAUCUGGUAUUUUCAUACAGUUCAAUAUUAAAGUUCCAAUAUUUUCUCUUUUGCUUUCUCAGCCAGCUAAAUUAAAGUUAGUUUUCUGAAACUGACUGCAGUUAAAAUAAAUUUACAAUCCUGGAUUUAUAAUACAUUAAAAGAGAAAAAGAGAUUUGGUACUUUUGCAACUAAUACAUUUUGCUAAAGCACACCCAAAUAUACUUUCAGUUCAACUAUACACUUAGUAGAUGUCUACUUGGCAACAUAACAAAAGUUAUUUGUACAAGUCUCCGCACACUCAUCUGACAUAUAGAACUGGAAGAGGGCAUGGGUAGCUCACGGAUUUGUUUUCUGUUUCAUUUGCAGAUGUGAAAUGUUACUGUAGGUCGCUUUUACGCAGAAAGACAAUAAAAAGUGAAUAUCUAC
This 3953-nucleotide long non-coding RNA is filed under the name Macaca fascicularis (crab-eating macaque). RNAcentral's name for it is "lncRNA (ENSMFAG00000064532.1)". The record is from RNAcentral. Lineage: Eukaryota; Metazoa; Chordata; Mammalia; Primates; Cercopithecidae.